AAAUAGAACUUUGCAGAGAGAGUUAACAGGGCGUGAAACCGUUAAUUGGCAAACGAAUCGGAGCCACGAAGUCGUUUCGUUGUAGUCGGGGCCCAGUUCAGCUUGGAAGGAAACUUUCUGGUGUAUUCUGGGUUCGGCCACUCUGUAAGCGUACACUGCAACCAGUUAGACGAUUGGCGAUGGGCCCAGUCACUAGGGUUAGUAGUAGUAGAGCGGGACUUGUCCUGUUUUGCUGCUGGGCUCUAGCGGGUGAACUAUCACCAAAAACUGACUGGCAAAAUGAAAAUCGCCGAAAGGCGUUUCCUUAGAAAGCGGCGCUUGCAUUGGCGUUUACACAUUAGACCGUGAGGUUUAAGCUCAGCAUCUUUGAAUUUGGACUUGCUGGCUACCAAUGGGGCAACUCUUGGUGCCAGUAUAGCUUUCAUCUAAUCGGGUGUUGACUUGAUUUUGCGUCGUUCUGGUGUGCUACGAUUGAACGUCAAUGUAAUGUAACUCGCAAUCUUAUUGGCAGUGAGUAGGUCGGCUUUCCGAAC
Molecule: ribosomal RNA, 533 nt
Filed under: Epitrimerus sp. Ca2-1
Lineage: Eukaryota; Metazoa; Arthropoda; Arachnida; Trombidiformes; Eriophyidae
Description: partial large subunit ribosomal RNA
Source: RNAcentral